UAACUUACCUGGCUGGGAGGCUCUCGCGAUCAAGAAGACGGGACCCCCAUGGUGAGGCCCGUGCAUUGCACUUUCGCACAGGCUGAUCUGUGUGGCAACCUCAAGUUGUGGUUAGCCAACAGCUAAAAA
Molecule: small nuclear RNA, 129 nt
Filed under: Ancylostoma ceylanicum
Lineage: Eukaryota; Metazoa; Nematoda; Chromadorea; Rhabditida; Ancylostomatidae
Description: U1 spliceosomal RNA
Rfam family: U1 spliceosomal RNA
About the family: U1 is a small nuclear RNA (snRNA) component of the spliceosome (involved in pre-mRNA splicing). Its 5' end forms complementary base pairs with the 5' splice junction, thus defining the 5' donor site of an intron. There are significant differences in sequence and secondary structure between metazoan and yeast U1 snRNAs, the latter being much longer (568 nucleotides as compared to 164 nucleotides in human).
Source: Rfam by way of RNAcentral